This 383-nucleotide ribosomal RNA is filed under the name uncultured bacterium. Its description in RNAcentral is "bacterial SSU rRNA". It matches the Rfam family "Bacterial small subunit ribosomal RNA", at positions 30 to 416 of the family's 1533-position model. The record is from RNAcentral.
AUUGAACGCUGGCGGCAUGCCUUACACAUGCAAGUCGAACGGCAGCGGACCUUCGGGUGCCGGCGAGUGGCGAACGGGUGAGUAAUAUAUCGGAACGUACCUUUCAGUGGGGGAUAACGUAGCGAAAGUUACGCUAAUACCGCAUAUUCUGUGAGCAGGAAAGCAGGGGAUCGCAAGACCUUGCGCUGAUUGAGCGGCCGAUAUCAGAUUAGCUAGUUGGCGGGUAAAGGCCCACCAAGGCGACGAUCCGUAGCUGGUCUGAGAGGAUGAUCAGCCACACUGGAACUGAGACACGGUCCAGACUCCUACGGGAGGCAGCAGUGGGGAAUAUUGGACAAUGGGGGCAACCCUGAUCCAGCCAUGCCGCGUGUGUGAAGAAGGCC